This 425-nucleotide ribosomal RNA is filed under the name uncultured bacterium. RNAcentral's name for it is "partial 16S ribosomal RNA". It matches the Rfam family "Bacterial small subunit ribosomal RNA", at positions 354 to 796 of the family's 1533-position model. The record is from RNAcentral.
GUUAGGAAUAUUGGACAAUGGGCGAAAGCCUGAUCCAGCCAUGCCGCGUGAACGAUGAAGGCCUUCGGGUUGUAAAGUUCUUUAGCCGAUGAUUAUAAUGACUGUAGUCGGAAAAUAAGCCCCGGCUAACUUCGUGCCAGCAGCCGCGGUAAUACGAAGGGGGCGAGCGUUAUUCGGAAUCACUGGGCGUAAAGCGUGCGUAGGCGGUUUUGUAAGUUAGGAGUGAAAGCCCAGGGCUCAACCUUGGAAUUGCUCUUAAAACUGCAAGGCUCGAAUCUCGGAGAGGAUAGCGGAAUUUCCAGUGUAGCAGUGAAAUGCGUAGAUAUUGGAAGGGACACCAGUGGCGUAAGCGGCUAUCUGGACGAGUAUUGACGCUGAGGCACGAAAGCGUGGGGAUCAAACAGGAUUAGAAACCCCGGUAGUCC